This 253-nucleotide ribosomal RNA is filed under the name uncultured bacterium. RNAcentral describes it as "partial 16S ribosomal RNA". It matches the Rfam family "Bacterial small subunit ribosomal RNA", at positions 524 to 776 of the family's 1533-position model. The record is from RNAcentral.
UACGGAGGAGGCAAGCGUUAUCCGGAAUUAUUGGGCGUAAAGCGUCCGUAGGUGGCUCUUCAAGUCUGCUGUCAAAGAGUGGGGCUUAACCCUGCAAAGGCAGUGGAAACUGAAAGGCUAGAGAGCCGUAGGGGUAGAGGGAAUUCCCGGUGUAGCGGUGAAAUGCGUAGAGAUCGGGAGGAACACCGGUGGCGAAGGCGGGUCUCUGGACCGAUACUGACGCUGAGGAGCGAAAGCGUGGGGAGCGAACAGG